RNAcentral lists this transfer RNA (74 nucleotides) under Lysobacter capsici. RNAcentral describes it as "tRNA-Thr". It matches the Rfam family "tRNA". From Rfam's summary of the family: Transfer RNA (tRNA) molecules are approximately 80 nucleotides in length. Their secondary structure includes four short double-helical elements and three loops (D, anti-codon, and T loops). The record is from RNAcentral. Lineage: Bacteria; Pseudomonadati; Pseudomonadota; Gammaproteobacteria; Lysobacterales; Lysobacteraceae.
GUUGGAAUAGUCCAUGGCAGAGCGGCGCAUUCGUAAUGCGUAGGUCGUAGGUUCGAUUCCUAUUUCCGGUACCA